AAACAUAACCUUUAGCCAAACAAGUAUUAAAGGCAACGCCUGCCCAGUGAAAAUUAAACGGCCGCGGUAUCCUAACCGUGCAAAGGUAGCAUAAUCAUUUGUCUAUUAAUUGUAGACCUGUAUGAAAGGCAAAAUGAGAGCCCAACUGUCUCUUAUAACAAAUCAAUUAAACUGAUCUCCUAGUACAAAAGCUAGAAUACUAACAUAAGACCAGAAGACCCUGUGAAGCUUUAACUAACCUAUUAAACCCAAUAAUAACUACUUUCGGUUGGGGCGACCUUGGAAUAAAAAAGAACUUCCAACAUAUGACUCCCUCAUAAAACAAGGCCAACAAGCCAAUACUAGACCCAGUAUAACUGAUAAUUGAAAUAAGUUACUCCAGGGAUAACAGCGCUAUCUUCUUUAAGAGCCCAUAUCAAAAAGAAGGUUUACGACCUCGAUGUUGGAUCAGGACAUCCCAGUAAUGCAACCGUUACUAAAGGUUCGUUUGUUCAACGAUUAACAGUCCCACGUGAUCU
This 518-nucleotide ribosomal RNA is filed under the name Cerrophidion wilsoni (Honduras montane pitviper). RNAcentral's name for it is "partial 16S ribosomal RNA". It matches the Rfam family "Bacterial large subunit ribosomal RNA", at positions 1811 to 2606 of the family's 2925-position model. Lineage: Eukaryota; Metazoa; Chordata; Lepidosauria; Squamata; Viperidae. The record is from RNAcentral.